Molecule: ribosomal RNA, 437 nt
Filed under: uncultured bacterium
Lineage: Bacteria
Description: bacterial SSU rRNA
Rfam family: Bacterial small subunit ribosomal RNA
Source: RNAcentral
AACGCGAAGAACCUUACCUAGGCUUGACAUCCCCUUGACCAGUGCAGAGAUGCACUCUUCUCUUCGGAGACAAGGGUGACAGGUGGUGCAUGGUUGUCGUCAGCUCGUGUCGUGAGAUGUUGGGUUAAGUCCCGCAACGAGCGCAACCCUUAUCCUUAGUUGCCAGCAGGUAAAGCUGGGCACUCUAAGGAGACUGCCGACGAUAAAUCGGAGGAAGGUGGGGACGACGUCAAAUCAUCAUGCCCCUUAUGUCUUGGGCUACACACGUGCUACAAUGGUCGGUACAAAGGGAAGCGAAGUAGAGAUAUGGAGCAAAUCCCAAUAAACCGAUCCCAGUUCGGAUUGUAGGCUGCAACUCGCCUACAUGAAGUCGGAGUUGCUAGUAAUCGCGAAUCAGAACGUCGCGGUGAAUGCGUUCCCGGGUCUUGUACACACCG